AGAUUGAACGCUGGCGGCAUGCCUUACACAUGCAAGUCGAACGGCAGCACGGGAGCAAUCCUGGUGGCGAGUGGCGAACGGGUGAGUAAUACAUCGGAACGUGCCCAAUCGUGGGGGAUAACGCAGCGAAAGCUGUGCUAAUACCGCAUAAGAUCUACGGAUGAAAGCAGGGGAUCGACAAGACCUUGCGCGAAGUGGAGCGGCCGAUGGCAGAUUAGGUAGUUGGUGAGGUAAAGGCUC
This 240-nucleotide ribosomal RNA is filed under the name uncultured soil bacterium. RNAcentral describes it as "partial 16S ribosomal RNA". It matches the Rfam family "Bacterial small subunit ribosomal RNA", at positions 26 to 266 of the family's 1533-position model. The record is from RNAcentral.